AGCACCUUUAAAUCAGUCCCGUGAGGCUGGCAAGGUAACGUGAACCGAGGUUCAUUAACAGGAGGCAUGGCUCUGUCUGCGGAUAGAUGCUGCGCUUUCCACACCAUCUCUAUGAGAUCAACUCCUUGUCCAGCCGGGCAAGGAGUUUUUUUGU
Paenibacillus sp. Y412MC10 is the source of this 154-nucleotide non-coding RNA. The record is from Rfam. Lineage: Bacteria; Bacillati; Bacillota; Bacilli; Caryophanales; Paenibacillaceae.